RNAcentral lists this small RNA (189 nucleotides) under Aspergillus ustus. Its description in RNAcentral is "A. fumigatus sRNA Afu_182". It matches the Rfam family "A. fumigatus sRNA Afu_182". The record is from Rfam by way of RNAcentral. Lineage: Eukaryota; Fungi; Ascomycota; Eurotiomycetes; Eurotiales; Aspergillaceae.
UCAUGAACAACGCAAAAUCAACAUUCUCUCAAAAAGCGUUCCUACGAGGGGUCUCUUGAUGCCUAUGAAGUACGGAAAUCGUCAUACAGAAUGGAGAACGACUGCAAAUGCAGAGUAUCGAUCUUGGGUGCAGUGCCUGCCUGGUCCUUACGGGCUUGGUGGAAGGGACUGCAAUGAUUGGUUCUACAC